RNAcentral lists this long non-coding RNA (315 nucleotides) under Vigna radiata. RNAcentral describes it as "long non-coding RNA (VRAD_LNC002846)". Lineage: Eukaryota; Viridiplantae; Streptophyta; Magnoliopsida; Fabales; Fabaceae. The record is from RNAcentral.
UUUCUCUCAAUUGUUUAGGGUAAACAGUGUCAACUCAAUGUACUCAAGAAAGCAAGCAACAAACAGUCUUGGCAAGCCUCUAAUAUCAACACUCAAACACAUAUGCAUGUUCAAAUCAAAAGGUCUUUUAUGGGUGAAAUGGGGCCAAGGACAAGGGAGGAUAACAUAUAGAUGAGAAGCUAUAAACCAAAAGGAAUAGAGGAGUAAUGGGGAACAAGUGUAAACACAGUAUACACACAACCAAAACCUCUAAUUCAAUCCUCUUCUUGACUCCUUUUUUCACAUUUUUUUUUAAUUUUUCUCAUUUUUCUGUAU